Molecule: long non-coding RNA, 1046 nt
Organism: Hemicordylus capensis (graceful crag lizard)
Lineage: Eukaryota; Metazoa; Chordata; Lepidosauria; Squamata; Cordylidae
Exons: 3
Source: RefSeq, a predicted model, not a curated record
GAGUUGCAGAGUGCAUUAUCUUCUAGUAAAAACUUCACCAGCAAAUCAUCCGAUUGACUUUCAAACCUAGAAAGAAGCAGCACAAUUAAAUGAUAUCUAAUAUUACUAUAGAAUCUACUGUUAAGUACAUAAAUAAAUAAAAUAAAAUAUACCAUGUAAGCAGUCUCAUAUAUUAUGCUACCUUUACAAAUUUGGCUCCAUGCACCCACACUUUGCUUUGGUUUUUUAGCUCUUUUAGGCCUAGGGAGGGAUAUGCCAUAGAGGUUAUUCAACAGGUGCAGCUUCUCCAUUCAUUCAAUAGUGAUGCAUCUGAUUAAUUGCUGCCUGGUGUGUUGUGACCUUAUUUAUAAAACAUGGAGGGCAUACGCAUGAGCAGCCCUACCUGGGCUGGUGCAGCCCUAUAGGGGAAGGGCGGCUGCUUGUGUGAAGUUCUGGAACUGGGCCCAAUCCUGGCUGUUUUUGCUCUGGGACUGGGCCCAAUCCUUUUUCUACCAAGGCUUACUGAGGUAGAAGGGUGCGAGCCGUCUGCAGCCUGGGUGUUCAUAGAGCUAGGUGGCUAGAGCGUCCAGUAGCAGGGAAAUCCCCCAAUCCACUGUGCUCCUCACGCGGUGCACUGAGGGAUGCGGGAGGUCUCACCCCACCCCCCGCCUGCCCCUUCGCUGCUCCUGAAGCCAUUGUGCCCCGGUCGUGUGGGCACGUGGUGCUGGGGAGCCUGGGAGUGGCACUGGUUGUGUGGGGGAAGGCAAGAAGGCUCUUCCCUCCAACCCUCCCCAAGCCAGGCGGAGGGCCAAGAAAGCUCAUGGGCUGGCAUCAGUCUGAAGGGGAGAUGGGAGAAAAUCCACUGGAGGAGUGACAGAUGAAGCUGUUGUGCCGGUUGAAUUUCUGCCUUGAGGUUUAUUAUAGCAGCAAAUAAUAUGUGGAGGGGAGUGAGGUCAAGAAAAUGAUGCAAAGGGGGAAAUCCCUACUUCUGUGCUGCUUCCCUGAUCCUACAACCUCCUACAACCGUAUUUGGUUUUGUUCAUAAAAAUUACAGAUCGGGAUAUUGA